CCGAUGACUGGCGGGUGCUUACACAUGCAGUCGCACGAGAACUCUUCUGCUUGCAGAAGAUAGUAAAGUGGCGCACGGGUGAGUAACGCGUGGGUAAUCUACCUCCGAAUCGGGGAUAACCCCGCGAAAGCGGGGCUAAUACCGGAUAAUAUCUUUUAUAUUUCGGCAUAAAAGAUCAAAGGUGGUCUCUACAUGUAAGCUACUGUUUGGAGAUGAGCCCGCGUGCCAUUAGCUUGUUGGUAGGGUAAUGGCCUACCAAGGCUACGAUGGCUAGCUGGUCUGAGAGGAUGAUCAGCCACACUGGAACUGACACACGGUCCAGACUCCUACGGGAGGCAGCAGUGAGGAAUUUUGCGCAAUGGGGGAAACCCUGACGCAGCAACGCCGCGUGAGUGAUGAAGGCUUUCGGGUCGUAAAGCUCUGUCAAGUGGGAAGAACAUGCUCGAUGUUAAUACCAUCGUGCACUGACGGUACCACUGAAGGAAGCACCGGCUAACUCCGUGCCAGCAGCCGCGGUAAUACGGGGGGUGCAAGCGUUAUUCGGAAUUAUUGGGCGUAAAGGGCGCGUAGGCGGUCUCUUAAGUCAGAUGUGAAAGCCCGGGGCUCAACCCCGGAAGUGCAUUUGAAACUAAGGGACUUGAGUAUGGGAGAGGGAAGUGGAAUUCCUGGUGUAGAGGUGAAAUUCGUAGAUAUCAGGAGGAACACCGGUGGCGAAGGCGACUUCCUGGACCAAUACUGACGCUAAGGCGCGAAGGCGUGGGGAGCAAACAGGAUUAGAUACCCUGGUAGUCCACGCAGUAAACGGUGAACACUAGGUGUAGCGGGUAUUUACCCCCUGCUGUGCCGCAGCUAACGCAUUAAGUGUUCCGCCUGGGGAGUACGGUCGCAAGAUUAAAACUCAAAGGAAUUGACGGGGGCCCGCACAAGCGGUGGAGCAUGUGGUUAAUUCGACGCAACGCGAAAAACCUUACCUGGAUUUGACAUCCCGAAAAGUCGUUCGAAAGAUUUGAUGUGCCCUUCCGGGG
Molecule: ribosomal RNA, 1025 nt
Filed under: uncultured bacterium
Lineage: Bacteria
Description: bacterial SSU rRNA
Rfam family: Bacterial small subunit ribosomal RNA
Source: RNAcentral